CUGGAGGUAUCAGAAGUGCGAAUGCUGACAUAAGUAACGAUAAAGCGGGUGAAAAGCCCGCUCGCCGGAAGACCAAGGGUUCCUGUCCAACGUUAAUCGGGGCAGGGUGAGUCGACCCCUAAGGCGAGGCCGAAAGGCGUAGUCGAUGGGAAACGGGUUAAUAUUCCCGUACUUGGUGUUACUGCGAAGGGGGGACGGAGAAGGCUAUGUUGGCCGGGCGACGGUUGUCCCGGUUUAAGCGUGUAGGUGUGUGUUCCAGGUAAAUCCGGUUCACUUUAACACUGAGGCGUGAUGACGAGGCACUACGGUGCUGAAGCAACAAAUGCCCUGCUUCCAGGAAAAGCCUCUAAGCAUCAGGUAACAUCAAAUCGUACCCCAAACCGACACAGGUGGUCAGGUAGAGAAUACCAAGGCGCUUGAGAGAACUCGGGUGAAGGAACUAGGCAAAAUGGUGCCGUAACUUCGGGAGAAGGCACGCUGACAUGUAGGUGAAGUGAUUUACUCACGGAGCUGAAGUCAGUCGAAGAUACCAGCUGGCUGCAACUGUUUAUUAAAAACACAGCACUGUGCAAACACGAAAGUGGACGUAUACGGUGUGACGCCUGCCCGGUGCCGGAAGGUUAAUUGAUGGGGUCAGCGCAAGCGAAGCUCCUGAUCGAAGCCCCGGUAAACGGCGGCCGUAACUAUAACGGUCCUAAGGUAGCGAAAUUCCUUGUCGGGUAAGUUCCGACCUGCACGAAUGGCGUAAUGAUGGCCAGGCUGUCUCCACCCGAGACUCAGUGAAAUUGAACUCGCUGUGAAGAUGCAGUGUACCCGCGGCAAGACGGAAAGACCCCGUGAACCUUUACUAUAGCUUGACACUGAACAUUGAGCCUUGAUGUGUAGGAUAGGUGGGAGGCUUUGAAGCGUGGACGCCAGUCUGCGUGGAGCCGACCUUGAAAUACCACCCUUUAAUGUUUGAUGUUCUAACGUGGACCCGUGAUCCGGGUUGCGGACAGUGUCUGGUGGGUAGUUUGACUGGGGCGGUCUCCUCCUAAAGAGUAACGGAGGAGCACGAAGGUUGGCUAAUCCUGGUCGGACAUCAGGAGGUUAGUGCAAUGGCAUAAGCCAGCUUGACUGCGAGCGUGACGGCGCGAGCAGGUGCGAAAGCAGGUCAUAGUGAUCCGGUGGUUCUGAAUGGAAGGGCCAUCGCUCAACGGAUAAAAGGUACUCCGGGGAUAACAGGCUGAUACCGCCCAAGAGUUCAUAUCGACGGCGGUGUUUGGCACCUCGAUGUCGGCUCAUCACAUCCUGGGGCUGAAGUAGGUCCCAAGGGUAUGGCUGUUCGCCAUUUAAAGUGGUACGCGAGCUGGGUUUAGAACGUCGUGAGACAGUUCGGUCCCUAUCUGCCGUGGGCGCUGGAGAACUGAGGGGGGCUGCUCCUAGUACGAGAGGACCGGAGUGGACGCAUCACUGGUGUUCGGGUUGUCAUGCCAAUGGCACUGCCCGGUAGCUAAAUGCGGAAGAGAUAAGUGCUGAAAGCAUCUAAGCACGAAACUUGCCCCGA
RNAcentral lists this ribosomal RNA (1546 nucleotides) under Salmonella enterica. RNAcentral's name for it is "partial 23S ribosomal RNA". It matches the Rfam family "Bacterial large subunit ribosomal RNA", at positions 1273 to 2802 of the family's 2925-position model. The record is from RNAcentral. Lineage: Bacteria; Pseudomonadati; Pseudomonadota; Gammaproteobacteria; Enterobacterales; Enterobacteriaceae.